UGAAGAACGCAGCGAAAUGCGAUAAGUAAUGUGAAUUGCAGAAUUCAGUGAAUCAUCGAGUCUUUGAACGCACAUUGCGCCCCCUGGUAUUCCGGGGGGCAUGCCUGUCCGAGCGUCAUUGCUGCCCUCAAGCACGGCUUGUGUGUUGGGCCCCGCCCCCCGGCUCCCGGGGGGCGGGCCCGAAAGGCAGCGGCGGCACCGCGUCCGGUCCUCGAGCGUAUGGGGCUUCGUCACCCGCUCCGUAGGCCCGGCCGGCGCCCGCCGGCGACCCCCCUCAAUCUUUUCAGGUUGACCUCGGAUCAGGUAGGGAUACCCGCUGAACUUAAGCAUAUCAAUAAGCGGAGGA
RNAcentral lists this unclassified non-coding RNA (346 nucleotides) under soil metagenome. RNAcentral describes it as "partial contains 5.8S ribosomal RNA, internal transcribed spacer 2, and large subunit ribosomal RNA". The stretch from base 1 to 118 matches the Rfam family "5.8S ribosomal RNA", at positions 37 to 154 of the family's 154-position model. The record is from RNAcentral.